UUCACCAUUAUUUAAAGUUAGAAAUAAAACAGUCAUGUAACAUUCAUUCAUGUUACAGAUUCAGUGUUAUUAUAAGCAAUAAAUAUUUUAUUGAAGUUGAGGCAACAAGGAAGCACAACACAUUAAGCAGAGGCACGUUUAUAUACUGUAAAGGUGGAAUGUGCAUUUGAAAGUGGCAAGCUCCCAUCAUUGAGUUCACACCCCAGUAGGCAGGCAGUGAAGUCUUUUUAAAAGAUGUAGUUCAGAUCCCCAGUCCUGGGAUGUGAGACUUCUGGAGAUAAACAAAGCUACCCAAAAGCAGAUUUGGUCUGAAUUCAGAGUCUGAUCUCCAGGUCUGAGACGUGGUGCCACCUGUGCAAGAGAUCCCAGCCUCUCCCUUCACUCUAAAAGGCAAGCAGGCACAUGCAUCACGUGGCUUCUUCCACACCUGGACUCAUCACUGCUCUUCCUGGUGCUUGAUUCCUGGGAAAACACCUGCUUAAUUGGAAAAUACCUGCUUGAUUUCAGCACAAAUUACCCAAGAAAGCCAGGCUUGGCUGGAAAUUAUUUGUCUGUGUCAGUAACAAAGGGACAAAUCAUGAAAGUGCAUUGUUUUGCCAAAGGGAAAGGUUUAGGAAAAAAACAUGAACAUUUUGCCCAGGUGUUGGUCCACAGGAACACCCAAGCCUAUUUCUUGCACCAGGAGAACUCACUUGAGCUUCCUAAUGCCCAGAGGGGUCCUUGCAUGCAACCUGCUGGGUUCCUCCUGCAGUUCCAGAGAAAGAUAUUAAAACACAGAUGAUGACCUUAGUGGAGAGCAUCUUUGCUACAUACAAGAUCCAAAGUAGGUAAGUUGUGUAUCAGAGAAUCAUAGAAUAUCAGGUUGGGAGGGACCUCAAGGUUCAUCUGGUCCAGCCCUUCUUAGUAAAAGCAUGGUCUAGGUAAGAUGGCCCUCUGCCCUGUUGAGCUGAAUCUCAGAAGUGUCCAGUGCUGAGGAAUUCAGCUUUCCUGGGGAGAUUAUUCCAAAGGCUUGUCUAGACUGUAACACAUCAGCUCCUCUAGGAGGAGGCUGUGGGAAACUGGAUCAAAAGCCUCUGAGAAAUCUGGAUAAACAAUGUCCACUGCUCACCCCACAUCAACCAAGCAGGUUACUUUAUUGUAGAAGGCAAUCAGGUUUUUCAAGCACAGUUUGCCUGUGGUGAAUCUGUACUGGCUUUUCCCAAUAACAUGUUAUAUCUGACUUGUGAUAGCCCCCAGGAGGAUUCACUCCACAAUUUUCCCAGGGAAUGAAGUAAGAGAGAUGGGCCUAUAAUUUCCUGGGUCCUUCUUAAAGCCUUUCUUGAAGAUGGAGGUGACCUUAACCUUCUUCCAGUCUUCAGGGAUGUCCCUCAAUCUUCAUGAC
This 1381-nucleotide long non-coding RNA is filed under the name Cyanistes caeruleus (blue tit). RNAcentral's name for it is "lncRNA (ENSCCEG00000010762.1)". Lineage: Eukaryota; Metazoa; Chordata; Aves; Passeriformes; Paridae. The record is from RNAcentral.